UUGGAUUAUCAAGAACUCAUGGGGAAAAUCUUGGGGCAUGGAGGGGUAUGCAUAUAUAAAAAGGAACACUGUUUUGCCAUAUGGGAUAUGUGGUAUUAAUUCACUGGCUUCUUAUCCCAUGAAAGAAUCGUCUUCCGCUCCACCAUCCCCUCCAAAACCAAAUAUAUGUGAAGACGGCUUACAUUACUGUCCAGAAGGUCAAACAUGCUGCUGCGGCUUAGAUUUCUUUGGCAAGUGCUUAGUUCAUGGAUGCUGUCCUAUUGAAAAUGGUGUUUGCUGUGAGAAUUCAAGAUUAUGCUGCCCUCAAGACUUCCCAUAUUGUGAUGUUUUACAAGGCCUCUGCCACAAGGAUUAUGGAGACAAAAUUGGAGUUGCUGCAAGGAAGAGAACAAUGGCCAAGCUCAAGCUAACAUGGAGCAGUGCUACUAAGGAAAUAGAUGAAAUGGACCAAACUUUCCAAUGGAACAGGAGGAAUCAGUUUGCUGUGAUGCGCUGAAACAACUUAUCUAAGUUAUUAUAGCUUUUAUCAUCCCAACUGGCACUCUGGUUCUUGUUGGUCAAGUAAAUGUUGUAGAAAAAUAUGUAAAAGAAAAAAUGUACAAAAA
RNAcentral lists this unclassified non-coding RNA (605 nucleotides) under Hevea brasiliensis (rubber tree). Lineage: Eukaryota; Viridiplantae; Streptophyta; Magnoliopsida; Malpighiales; Euphorbiaceae. The record is from RNAcentral.